Molecule: transfer RNA, 72 nt
Filed under: Candidatus Desantisbacteria bacterium CG1_02_49_89
Lineage: Bacteria; Candidatus Desantisiibacteriota
Also listed under: 3 other names
Description: tRNA-Val
Rfam family: tRNA
About the family: Transfer RNA (tRNA) molecules are approximately 80 nucleotides in length. Their secondary structure includes four short double-helical elements and three loops (D, anti-codon, and T loops).
Source: RNAcentral
GGGUGGAUAGCUCAGCGGCAGAGCAUCGCCCUUACACGGCGGGGAUCACAGGUUCAAAUCCUGUUCCACCCA